RNAcentral lists this long non-coding RNA (276 nucleotides) under Brassica napus (rape). Its description in RNAcentral is "long non-coding RNA (BNAP_LNC013530)". The record is from RNAcentral. Lineage: Eukaryota; Viridiplantae; Streptophyta; Magnoliopsida; Brassicales; Brassicaceae.
UAUUUUCGCAUUUAAUAAAGUGUAGUUUUCAAAAAGUAAAAAGUGAAGUGUAUUUUUCAAAUUUAAAACUAUAAAUAAUGUAUUUUUCAAAUUAUCCCUAUUAUUUAGCUCUAAAUUUAAAAAAAUAGUAAGAGGUUUUAGAUAAAACUUUCAUUUGCCAUGUUCAUUGGUUACUUGUGCCUAAAAAAUAAUGGAACUCAACCUCCCCCUAUCAAGCCACCGCCCCAUUACCUUUCCUUUCACUAUAACUAACCUAAUAAAUAUUUUUAGCAUAAU